Molecule: ribosomal RNA, 497 nt
Filed under: uncultured bacterium
Lineage: Bacteria
Description: partial 16S ribosomal RNA
Rfam family: Bacterial small subunit ribosomal RNA
Source: RNAcentral
GAUGAACGCUGGCGGCGUGCCUAAUACAUGCAAGUCGAGCGAACGGACGAGAAGCUUGCUUCUCUGAUGUUAGCGGCGGACGGGUGAGUAACACGUGGAUCACCUACCUAUAAGACUGGGAUAACUUCGGGAAACCGGAGCUAAUACCGGAUAAUAUUUUGAACCGCAUGGUUCAAAAGUGAAAGACGGUCUUGCUGUCACUUAUAGAUGGUUCCGCGCUGCAUUAGCUAGUUGGUAAGGUAAAGGCUUAUCAAGGGAACGAUGCGUAGCCGACGUGUGGGGGGGAUCGCCCGCACUGGAACGUGACCGCGGACCAGGGUCCUACGGGAGGCACCAGUAGGGAAUCUUCCGCAGUGGUGGAGAGCAUUGCGGAGCAGCGCCGCGUGAGAGGUAGAAGUCUUGGGUGCGGAGAACCCUCUUAUUGGGGAAAAACAUAUGUGGAAGUAAAUGUGCACUGCGUGACGGUACCUAAUAAAGAAGCCACGGCUAACUACGUG